This 307-nucleotide ribosomal RNA is filed under the name uncultured bacterium. Its description in RNAcentral is "bacterial SSU rRNA". It matches the Rfam family "Bacterial small subunit ribosomal RNA", at positions 28 to 334 of the family's 1533-position model. The record is from RNAcentral.
GAUGAACGCUAGCGGCAGGCCUAACACAUGCAAGUCGAGGGGUAUAGUCUAGCUUGCUAGACUAGAGACCGGCGCACGGGUGCGUAACGCGUAUGCAAUCUACCUUGUACAAAGGGAUAGCCCAGAGAAAUUUGGAUUAAUACCUCAUAAUGUUUUUAACUCGCAUGAGUUUUAAAUUAAAACUUCGGUGGUAAAAGAUGGGCAUGCGUUCUAUUAGUUUGUUGGUAAGGUAACGGCUUACCAAGACUACGAUAGAUAGGGGUUCUGAGAGGAUAGUCCCCCACACUGGUACUGAGACACGGACCAG